CUUUCGGCUGCUGGGUAGCUCCUCUUCCCUCGCUGGGCGAGGCUCUAAAGCCCAUGUGCAGCACAUUGAGGAUCUUCCGAUCGGUCUUCGCUGAUGCUUUUCUCAUGUCCCUCUAAGGGCGAGAUCACUGGGAAAGGAGCUGAUGCUGGUGGAAUCUUCAGGUGAUGAAGAUGGAGACUCCAGGUCUGAGUCGGCUGGAAAUAAAAAGAGACUCCCUGCAUUAGAGACCAUCCACAGGGCAUCCUUGGAAGCUGUGACCUGAAGGUGGACAAGCCACAGGAUGGAAGGAGCUGCAUCUCUAAGUCACCAGUGAAGAACAGUCACCCUCAAUGGCAAGAGUUGAAUCCAUUAACAGUACUCAGCUCCAAUCUGUAAACCUGUGCUCCUAAAGUCUGCCUGAUGGUGCCUCUACAGACUUACCAACACCAGUGGUCCAGCAUCUGCUCCUCAGAGAUGCACAAAGAAGAGUGUACAUGAGGACACAGUGAGAAGGCGUCCAUCGGCAAGACAAGAGCUCUCAUCAGAAACCAAAUCUGUCAGCACUUUGAUUUGGGACUUCUAGCCUCUGGAACUGUGAAAAAAUAAAUCUCUGUUGUUUAAGCCACCCAAGCUAUGAUAUUUUGUUACGGCAGCCUAAGCAGGUACACAAUGCAACAGAAAAAUGGGCA
Molecule: long non-coding RNA, 668 nt
Filed under: Equus asinus (donkey)
Lineage: Eukaryota; Metazoa; Chordata; Mammalia; Perissodactyla; Equidae
Description: lncRNA (ENSEASG00005037206.1)
Source: RNAcentral